RNAcentral lists this non-coding RNA (45 nucleotides) under Schistosoma haematobium. The record is from RNAcentral. Lineage: Eukaryota; Metazoa; Platyhelminthes; Trematoda; Strigeidida; Schistosomatidae.
AUCCAGCUGACAAGUCCCAAUUAGGGCGAAACACGCAUCCUGGAU